AUUGAACGCUGGCGGCAUGCUUUACACAUGCAAGUCGAACGGCAACGCGGAGAAGCUUGCUUCUCUGUCGGCGAGUGGCGCACGGGUGAGUAUAGCAUCGGAACGUGCCAAGUAGUGGGGGAUAACCAAACGAAAGUUUGGCUAAUACCGCGUAAGCUCUAAGGAGGAAAGUAGGGGACCUAAUAAGGCCUUACGCUAUUUGAUCGGCCGAUGUCGGAUUAGCUAGUUGGUGGGGUAAUGGCUCACCAAGGCAAUGAUCCGUAGCGGGUCUGAGAGGACGAUCCGCCACACUGGGACUGAGACACGGCCCAGACUCCUACGGGAGGCAGCAGUGGGGAAUUUUGGACAAUGGGGGAAACCCUGAUCCAGCCAUGCCGCGUGUAUGAAGAAGGCCUUAGGGUUGUAAAGUACUUUUGUUAGGGAAGAAAAGCUAGUUUUUAAUAAAAAUUAGUGAUGACGGUACCUAAAGAAUAAGCACCGGCUAACUACGUG
Molecule: ribosomal RNA, 492 nt
Filed under: uncultured bacterium
Lineage: Bacteria
Description: partial 16S ribosomal RNA
Rfam family: Bacterial small subunit ribosomal RNA
Source: RNAcentral